UUUUAAGCUGGCAAAAAGCAUUAUAAAGGGGCAGGAGAAAAAAGGAAAAGACUUGCAGACUGAAAUCUAAAGGACACUUGAUGCUUCCCAGUCCUGUUUCUUGCACUAACAAUGAAUGAAUGAAUCACAAAAAUCCUAGAACUUUAUGCGUUUUCAAGAAGUUGCCUGAAGAAGGAACUUCCUUGUGCGGUACGCCUCAGGAAAAAAGAAGCAGGAGAAAAGCUUUGAGAGGAGAGCAAGUGACGGGCACGUCCCUUGUUGGCUGCUGCGUGAGCGAAGUAACUAUUUUCCAGCGAGUGUCCUCAUGUGACCUGUCUAGACGUGCCCAGGAAAAACAAUCCAACAUCCUCCUAAGCCGCAAAGAAGUCCCUGACGCGCAGGCCGCACUGCGUGGAAGGCCCAAAGCGCGCUCGCGGGCCCGCGAAAGGCGCAGGAGCAGCGGAGCCGAGGCGGGCGGCG
RNAcentral lists this long non-coding RNA (459 nucleotides) under Homo sapiens (human). RNAcentral describes it as "HSALNT0002418". Lineage: Eukaryota; Metazoa; Chordata; Mammalia; Primates; Hominidae. The record is from RNAcentral.